Molecule: long non-coding RNA, 206 nt
Filed under: Lathyrus oleraceus (garden pea)
Lineage: Eukaryota; Viridiplantae; Streptophyta; Magnoliopsida; Fabales; Fabaceae
Description: Pisum sativum (pea) long non-coding RNA (PSAT_LNC021313)
Source: RNAcentral
CAAAGAGACGAAUUUUGGUCCCUAAGAGACCUCAUGAUGCAUAUGCAUGUAUGCAAAAAGGUAAUACUCUGUGGGGAUUUGUGUCCACAACGAAGAAAAGAAAUUCGGAGAAACUGACAAUCCAUAUGAGUAAUUCACUCCAUGGGACAGAGACUCUGGGACUUUUAUGGGGAUAGAAAAGGGAAUAAAUUGCGUGAGCAUGUCAC